RNAcentral lists this ribosomal RNA (497 nucleotides) under uncultured bacterium. RNAcentral's name for it is "partial 16S ribosomal RNA". It matches the Rfam family "Bacterial small subunit ribosomal RNA", at positions 28 to 507 of the family's 1533-position model. The record is from RNAcentral.
GAUGAACGCUGGCGGCGUGCCUAAUACAUGCAAGUCGAGCGAACUGACGAGAAGCUUGCUUCUCUGAUGUUAGCGGCGGACGGGUGAGUAACACGUGGAUAACCUACCUAUAAGACUGGGAUAACUUCGGGAAACCGGAGCUAAUACCGGAUAAUAUUUUGAACCGCAUGGUUCAAAAGUGAAAGACGGCCUUGCUGUCACUUAUAGAUGGAUCCGCGCUGCAUUAGCUAGUUGGUAAGGUAACGGCUUACCAAGGCAACGAUGCAUAGCCGACCUGAGAGGGUGAUCGGCCACACUGGAACUGAGACACGGUCCAGACUCCUACGGGAGGCAGCAGUAGGGAAUCUUCCGCAAUGGGCGAAAGCCUGACGGAGCAACGCCGCGUGAGUGAUGAAGGUCUUCGGAUCGUAAAACUCUGUUAUUAGGGAAGAACAUAUGUGUAAGUAACUGUGCACAUCUUGACGGUACCUAAUCAGAAAGCCACGGCUAACUACGUG